Long non-coding RNA from Biomphalaria glabrata, 4497 nucleotides. RefSeq lists it as uncharacterized. NCBI's taxonomy places the organism in Eukaryota, Metazoa, Mollusca, Gastropoda, Planorbidae. The transcript is spliced from 9 exons. The record is from RefSeq and is a predicted model, not a curated record.
AGCAGCCAAAGCUUCAACACAAGUUUCAUGUCACAUUAAACAUGUUCAGAACAAGAUUGUGUACAGCCUGUGGGUGAAGUGAAGGAGGACAGUCAACAGAUCAUGUGUGGUGCCCCGACAGUCCAACAAAAGAACAGUUCCAAAUGCAGUUUACAACCGUGUGAUUUAGAAAUGGAGCAUGAAUACAGAUUAUGAGAACUAUGAAAUAUAAAGCACAAAUAAUCAGAAUUGUAGCAAGCUUGUACCAAAUUUUUCUUAAGGCAAGUGGUCCUUUCCAAUGUUACAUUUAACUACUUUUAAUUUAAGUUCUUUUCAUGUAUGUUAAAUAAGAACCAGUUUCUUACUACAGAUCUAUCAAAGCAAGUAUAUUUUUUCUAUGUAUUUGUAUAUUUUAAUUGCAUUUUUUCUUUUUGUUGUUGCUUUUUUUGCAUGCUAAUUUUAAAAUGUUUAAAUAUUUUCCUAUCAAAAUCUCAAAAUACAUGUUUUCUGUUAUCUCUUAGCCUUAUGGUAAUUAGUUUCAAAUGUAUACAUAACAAUAAAACUUAUUUUCUUCACUUUAACAUUUAGAGAGCUAGAUCGAUUGGGGAUUAUCUCAUUAUGAAGUUUAGUCAAAAUCUCACUUCACUAAGACUUGUAUUUGUGUUUAUAUGCCUGUACACAUUUUAUUACAACUUUCAGGUUAAGAUGCUGAGUAGAGCUUAGUGCUCCUCAGAGGUAGGUAAUGAAAAGAACUACAAGUUAUAGGGAACAGGAAAAAGCAGUGUAGCAAGCUUAUCCAGAAGUUUUUUCAGUCAAGCCUAUUUCAUUCUUGUGGUUCUCUAGCCAUCAAGAAUUCUGGACAUACUUUCCAUUCAUCAGUAUAUGAUGUUUCCAUAUAUCAUCAGCUUAACAAGCACACAUUCUCUGCUGCCAACAGUACCAAUUUGUCAACCAAGCAACAAAUAUUCCUUGGUAAUCUGCUAUCAGAUAACAGUUUUCUCGUUGGCAUUUUUAUGAAUUAAAGCUUUCAAGGCUUAAGUAAGACUUACUUUUUUUUUCUUUGACUGCUAAUUCUAAAAUAAUUUAUCAUUGCAUGUUAAAAAUAAUAAAGAACUUUUUAUACAUAUUUCUCUACCAUUUUUCAGUGUUUUGGUCACGUUUCAGAUUUGUUUAGCAUAAUCCUGUACUACAUAUUAACAAAUGUUUGGUGUGUCUAGUUCAUCUCUCUCACUAUGAAGAUGGCUACACACUAUCAGCAAUGCACCCCUAUGAUAUACAAGUCUUCAUUGCCAAGUCACUCUGCCAAACAGUGUGUACACCUUUCUUGCAGUGGUAGUACUUUACUGUACUUCAAUCACUUCAGGAGUCUGGAUAUGUCAGCCCAAGGCCAAGGAGAUCAAGUUUGUGUCCAAGGUUACUUAGGUAAUUCUCUAAGAACAAUAGGUUUUUUUUUUUAAAGACACACACUACAUGUUGCUGAUCUGUGGGUUAGUGGCUCAAUCAUUGUGCACUGAUUCUCCACUGAUGCCUAGAUUGCCAUAAGUUUAUCUAUUGAUCUACAGAUCAAGUGAGUUUUUCUCAAAUCAAGUAGGGACUAAAUGGUCUAUUAAACAUGAGGUCAAGGAAAAAGGAUGAACAUUUCAAGGCUGCAGGAGGAACAUUAAACAUCUCUCUCACUGUGAAAAGAUUCUACCGAUCUACAAAUGAUCAACAUGUUUUAUCUAAAGUUCAUCUGCCAUUUCUUCAAAUGGAGCCAUAGUCAGAAUAAGGUUCAAAUGUAUCAGUUGUUUUUGUUGACAGAUAUCAAGUCAUUUCAGUUCUCAAUUAUUUUGUGCACCAAGUUACAAGAAAAAAAUUAAGCAAGAGAGGUCACUACACUAAGACUUUGUCUUCUCAUAAGAAUGGAUGGCUGCCUGGUCAUGUGAUAUGUGUGCUGGACUGUGUGUGGUCAUCUUGAUGCUCAUAUCUUGCCUGAUGACAUUUAUUCUGCUGGACAUUUGGUCAAGGAAGUAGAUUCUCUUCAGCUCUCAAGAAACAUUCAAAACAUGUCAAACAUUUGACAAGAAUAUCAAACAAGUGCAGUGUACAUACCAACAUGAUGAAGAUGUAGACCAACAUGAUGAAGAUGUAGACCAACAUGAUGAAGAUGUAGACCGACAUGAUGAAGAUGUAGGCCGACAUGAUGAAGAUGUAGACUGACAUGAUGAAGAUGUAGACUGACAUGAAGAUGAAAUGUAAACCAAAAUAUUGAUUAAGAGAUGUAUGGAAUAAAAAGUGAACAUCUUGAGAGGGAAAACAAUUCCUAGAGGCAAAGACACAGACACAGUAGAUACAUAAGAGAUUGUUUCCUUUUCUACCAUCAUUUAGAGCCUUUUUUGUGAGGGAACCUGCAUCUGAAAGAAAUGAACAUUUCCCUAAUGCUACUUCAAAUUCAGAUCUCCUCCCAACCUCAGGCUGAGUACCCGUGGUCACCUACUUUGUUACAUUACCAUAGCACUACAGACAGUGGAAAACAAAUUAUAUGAAGGAAUGCAACCACCAUCAGAUAUUGUUGUCUUUACAGACUCCCAAUCUACUCUGCAAGCACUUAACAGCAGCACCUCAAACAGCCCAAGAGAAUUGACAACACUCAUUGUGAUAAUCCACCAGAUGAUAUCAAAAUUAAAUAUCAAUAUUACACUACAGUGGAUCCCUGGACACAUUGGCAUCAUGGGAAUGAAAAGGCAGAUAAGCUAUCAAAGGCAGGUUCAUCUAUGGAACAACCAGAUAGACCUGUUAACUACCUCACCCUAAGGUCAAUGUUAGUCAACAAUCAUAAAGAGGAGUGGCUCAACCAAUGGGCAUCAGGAAACACAGGCAGAGCCAUGUACAAAGAAAUUACUGCACCUAACAAACUGGACAGUAUUAACUUCCUCCCCUGCAAAGAACAAUCUACAAUUUUCCAACUAAGAACAGGACACACUCCACUAUUAAAUUACCACCUGAACAAAAUAAACUCCACACAACUCCUCCUUUGCAGACACUGCGCCCACCCCUUUGAAACCGUAAACCAUAUCCUCUUUGAAUGCUCCUCCCUAAUCCACCUUAGGCAGACCCUACUUCCACUACAGCCCAACAUAACCAACACCCUGUACGGCAGUGCUGAACAACUGAAGAAAACAGCACACUUUUUUUCCUUGGCACAGUCUGCAAAAGAGCUUACAGCUCAGCAGCAAUAAAGCUGGCUAGAAGAAGAAGAAAAAGAGGUUACAUUACAAGAAGUGGUCGCAAAGUCAGAAAACCUAACAGAUGACAAUGAGUAGAACAAUCAUUUCUGAUACAGGUACAAGUACUCAAGUGAUGUACUUUGUAAGAACUAAUUAGGUGGAAUCACCAUAAUUGAUUUCUAUCUUGUUCUAUAUAUAGGUAUAUCUUGACAAUCAGUCCAGUCAUUGUUCAUUCUUUUUUAAUAUUCCUUUUGUUCCCUCAAUCAUCUUGUUGUUUCAGUUAAUGUUUUUAUCUUUUUGUUUUUGGAGGAGGGAGGGGCUGUGGUAUAUUAUUAUUAUUAUUGAAGUCGCUACAUUAUGCUUUUAAUUCAAUUUAUCAUCUCCCCUUCUUUUGUGUGCUAUCAUAUUAAUGUUCAUUAGUGUCACAUCCGUGCACAAUUUGUUCUAUGCUUUUUAUAGUGUAAAUAGUGACUUGACAUUAUUUAGAUAAAUUAUAUGUUAUAUUAUAUUUAAACUAAAACUGUUAGCAUUUUCUAUGAUGUUAUUAAUAUGAAUGUGUUUGUGUGUUGCUAUGAAUGCAUUUUAAGUUUUAGUCUGAAAUCAUAAAUAAGAAAUUGUUUCAUAAACAAAGAUUAUAUUAAUAUUUAAUAUUGUCAGACUUCACUAUAGCAUUGAGUUCAUCCCCAUAGUCUAUUUAAAACUUUCAAAUACUAAUUCACUUUGUCUUAUCUAAUGGUGAUCAUGGGGGUAUCCGUUAUCCAUAGUCUCUGGUUAGGGCUAGGAUGUAAUCUCUAUUUCUGAUGGAACACAUGUAAAACCAAGAAAACAAACAGUAGACCUAGACUUUAUUAACAGGUCAUGCAAGCAUUUUUUUAUAAUUGUGAACUGAUGCUCUCAGAGCUAUUUUUAUGUAUUUUUAUUUUUGCUACUUUUGUAGACUAGUGCUAAGCUGUAUGCUUAUACUUCCGCCUAUUAUUAUAUGGGUUAGGGCGAUGCUGUUUCCUGUACUGUUGACCAGAGUGUGUCAGUUUUAAUUAUUCUGUACUUGGAACUGCCUUUAAGUUUCAGAAUUUAUUUUUUUUUCUAUUUGUAAAGCUACUUUAUAUAUAUAGUUAUAUAUUAUGGUACAUUAUUUUUCUAAUUGAAACAACUGUCAAAAUAAUUGGCAGUUUGUUUUUUUAAAGUUUGUUUUAAAAUGAUGGCCACUUCUAAUGUUUAUGUACUAGAUCUUUUCCUAAUUUUUUUGUUUUUUUUAUCUGCAGUGUUUUGUAACUGCUGCUUUGCUCAUUUGAAUUAAAGUAUCAUUUUGUUA